Molecule: ribosomal RNA, 406 nt
Filed under: uncultured bacterium
Lineage: Bacteria
Description: partial 16S ribosomal RNA
Rfam family: Bacterial small subunit ribosomal RNA
Source: RNAcentral
AUUGAACGCUGGCGGCAGUCCUAACACAUGCAAGUCGGGCGAGCGGAGGACGGGUGAGGAAUGUAUGGGGAUCUGCCUGCUGGAGGGGGAUAACUACUGGAAACGGUAGCUAAUACCGCAUACCAUCAUCUGAACCCAUAUGGGAUUAGCUUGUCUGUAGGGGAACGGGUUACCGAGGCGGCGAUCCCUCGCGGGUCUGUGAGGAUGAUCAGCCACCUGGGGAGUGAGACAGGGCCCAGACUCCUACGGGAGGCAGCAGUGGGGAAGAGUGCACAAUGGGCGAAAGCAUGAUGCAGCCAUGCCGCGUGUAUGAAGAAGGCCUUCGGGUUGUAAAGUACUUUCAGUCGGGAGGCGUUACCGACAGAAGAAGCACCGGCUAACUCCGUGCCAGCCGCCGCGGUAAUAC